UACGGCGGGUGCAAGCGUUACUCGGAAUUACUGGGCGUAAAGCGUGCGCAGGCGGUUUGUUAAGUCCGUUGUGAAAGCCCCGAGCUCAACUUGGGAAUUGCAGUGGAUACUGGCAGGCUGGAGUACGGUAGAGGAAGGUGGAAUUCCCGGUGUAGCAGUGAAAUGCGUAGAUAUCGGGAGGAACACCAGUGGCGAAGGCGGCCUUCUGGACCAGUACUGACGCUCAUGCACGAAAGCGUGGGGAGCAAACAGG
Molecule: ribosomal RNA, 253 nt
Filed under: uncultured bacterium
Lineage: Bacteria
Description: partial 16S ribosomal RNA
Rfam family: Bacterial small subunit ribosomal RNA
Source: RNAcentral